CCGAGUUUACAACUCCCAAACCCCUGUGAACAUACCUAUACGUUGCCUCGGCGGAUCAGCCCGCGCCCCGUAAAAAGGGACGGCCCGCCCGAGGACCCCUAAACUCUGUUUUUAGUGGAACUUCUGAGUAAAACAAACAAAUAAAUCAAAACUUUCAACAACGGAUCUCUUGGUUCUGGCAUCGAUGAAGAACGCAGCAAAAUGCGAUAAGUAAUGUGAAUUGCAGAAUUCAGUGAAUCAUCGAAUCUUUGAACGCACAUUGCGCCCGCCAGUAUUCUGGCGGGCAUGCCUGUUCGAGCGUCAUUUCAACCCUCAAGCUCAGCUUGGUGUUGGGACUCGCGGUAACCCGCGUUCCCCAAAUCGAUUGGCGGUCACGUCGAGCUUCCAUAGCGUAGUAAUCAUACACCUCGUUACUGGUAAUCGUCGCGGCCACGCCGUAAAACCCCAACUUCUGAAUGUUGACCUCGGAUCAGGUAGGAAUACCCGCUGAACUUAAGCAUAUCAAUAAGCGGAGGA
Molecule: small RNA, 516 nt
Filed under: Fusarium incarnatum
Lineage: Eukaryota; Fungi; Ascomycota; Sordariomycetes; Hypocreales; Nectriaceae
Description: eukaryotic LSU rRNA
Rfam family: 5.8S ribosomal RNA (bases 150-303)
Source: RNAcentral